Molecule: long non-coding RNA, 235 nt
Organism: Tupaia belangeri chinensis (Chinese tree shrew)
Lineage: Eukaryota; Metazoa; Chordata; Mammalia; Scandentia; Tupaiidae
Exons: 5
Source: RefSeq, a predicted model, not a curated record
GGGGACUCUUUUACAAAAGGUGAAAAGGGAGAUAGAGGAGAACCCGGAAUAAUAGGAUCCCAGGGAAUAAAGGGUGAACCUGGAGAUCCUGGUCCCCCUGGUUUAAUAGGAAGCCCAGGACUAAAGGGUCAGCAAGGACCUACAGGCCCCAUGGGACCCAGAGGACCACCAGGAGACAUUGGAUUGCCAGGAGAACAUGGCAUCCCAGGAAAACAAGGCAUUAAAGGAGAAAAGG